AGUGAACGCUGGCGGUAGGCCUAACACAUGCAAGUCGAACGGCAGCACAGUAAGAGCUUGCUCUUACGGGUGGCGAGUGGCGGACGGGUGAGGAAUACAUCGGAAUCUACUUUUUCGUGGGAGAUAACGUAGGGAAACUUACGCUAAUACCGCAUACGACCUACGGGUGAAAGCAGGGGAUCUUCGGACCUUGCGCGAUUGAAUGAGCCGAUGUCGGAUUAGCUAGUUGGCGGGGUAAAGGCCCACCAAGGCGACGAUCCGUAGCUGGUCUGAGGGGAUGAUCAGCCACACUGGAACUGAGACACGGUCCAGACUCCUACGGGAGGCAGCAGUGGGGAAUAUUGGACAAUGGGCGCAAGCCUGAUCCAGCCAUACCGCGUGGGUGAAGAAGGCCUUCGGGUUGUAAAGCCCUUUUGUUGGGAAAGAAAAGCAGCAGGUUAAUACCCCGCUGUUCUGACGGUACCCAAAGAAUAAGCACCGGCUAACUUCGUG
Molecule: ribosomal RNA, 492 nt
Filed under: uncultured bacterium
Lineage: Bacteria
Description: partial 16S ribosomal RNA
Rfam family: Bacterial small subunit ribosomal RNA
Source: RNAcentral